This 315-nucleotide unclassified non-coding RNA is filed under the name Hevea brasiliensis (rubber tree). The record is from RNAcentral. Lineage: Eukaryota; Viridiplantae; Streptophyta; Magnoliopsida; Malpighiales; Euphorbiaceae.
UGGCAUGCUGGACAGUGCCACUGUCUUGCUGGUUCAUUGAUUUGCUCAACAGUCAAACUGUCUAAACUCUCAAAAAAUUUCUUGAACCAUCUGCUAUUCUUGCGAGUCUCGUGACUCUUUUGGCUAGCAUCUGAAUCAAAGUCUUCACUAUGAAGCUCAUCAUCUGUAUCAUCAAUGGCAUCGUCAUCCUCAUCAUCUUCAUCAUCAACAUCAUUUUCCUUGCUAACUUCAGUAUCUUCAUUUUUUUUUUUACCAUCUUCUGAAAUAUUAGGAACAGUUGCACCAGCUCUAGAUUGCCAAUUCCAUCCAUGCUCC